AGCUCGGUGGUCUAGUGGUUAGGACAUCAGGCUAAAUACUUGAAGGUCAUGGGUUCGAUUCCCACCCGAAUCA
RNAcentral lists this transfer RNA (73 nucleotides) under Anneissia japonica. Its description in RNAcentral is "tRNA-Phe". It matches the Rfam family "tRNA". Rfam says of the family: Transfer RNA (tRNA) molecules are approximately 80 nucleotides in length. Their secondary structure includes four short double-helical elements and three loops (D, anti-codon, and T loops). Further hydrogen bonds mediate the characteristic L-shaped molecular structure. tRNAs have two regions of fundamental functional importance: the anti-codon, which is responsible for specific mRNA codon recognition, and the 3' end, to which the tRNAs corresponding amino acid is attached (by aminoacyl-tRNA synthetases). tRNAs cope with the degeneracy of the genetic code in two manners: having more than one tRNA (with a specific anti-codon) for a particular amino acid; and 'wobble' base-pairing, i.e. permitting non-standard base-pairing at the 3rd anti-codon position. Lineage: Eukaryota; Metazoa; Echinodermata; Crinoidea; Comatulida; Comatulidae. The record is from RNAcentral.